This 575-nucleotide long non-coding RNA is filed under the name Homo sapiens (human). Its description in RNAcentral is "HSALNT0094835". Lineage: Eukaryota; Metazoa; Chordata; Mammalia; Primates; Hominidae. The record is from RNAcentral.
AACAGAUGGUGAGAAACAUUUCUGCUCUUCCACACCUAGGAUGCGGUUCUGCUCUGAGCAUCCAGCACCAGUGAGGCAAUCUGCUUUUCAUUUAUGGGCAGAGAAAAGCCACAGAGGAAGGAAUGAGGGAGGCCAUAGUUCUCAGAGUGUCGGAGGAGUUGAUGCAAUAAUAAUUCAAUUCCCCCUACUCUGAAAAGCAAGGCAGUCCAACCCGGCAGGAUGCCUGCAGCCAGGGCUGUAAACUCCAGCUCACCUCAGGCUACCUCCAGCUGAGCAAGCCCACACCAGAACCUGUGGGCCUGAACUCUUGCAGGGGAAGAGUUCAAACAGGGCCUUUUCCAGUUUGCAUCAUGUGGCAGAGCCCUGUAGCCAAUCAGCUGGAAGCGAGUUCCAGGUCUGGCGGCAUCUUUGCAGCCUCUCACCUGCCAGGAUUGCUCCCCCUGUGGUCUUCCUCUGCCUGCUUCCCAGGGCAGGGCUCCAUCCAGCGUCAUUUGAUGGAGCUUUCACAUGCCAUUCCCCAAUAAAAUAAAAUGCCCUGAAGUGACCCCGGCCCCCUGUACUCUUCCAUUCUCUGC